AUUGAACGCUGGCGGCAGGCUUAACACAUGCAAGUCGAGCGGGGGAAGGUAGCUUGCUACCGGACCUAGCGGCGGACGGGUGAGUAAUGCUUAGGAAUCUGCCUAUUAGUGGGGGACAACAUCUCGAAAGGGAUGCUAAUACCGCAUACGUCCUACGGGAGAAAGCAGGGGAGCUUCGGACCUUGCGCUAAUAGAUGAGCCUAAGUCGGAUUAGCUAGUUGGUGGGGUAGAGGCCUACCAAGGCGACGAUCUGUAGCGGGUCUGAGAGGAUGAUCCGCCACACUGGGACUGAGACACGGCCCAGACUCCUACGGGAGGCAGCAGUGGGGAAUAUUGGACAAUGGGGGGAACCCUGGUCCAGCCAUGCCGCGUGUGUGAAGAAGGCCUUAUGGUUGUAAAGCACUUUAAGCGAGGAGGAGGCUACUUUAGUUAAUACCUAGAGAUAGUGGACGUUACUCGCAGAAUAAGCACCGGCUAACUCUGUGCCAGCCGCCGCAGUAA
RNAcentral lists this ribosomal RNA (501 nucleotides) under uncultured bacterium. Its description in RNAcentral is "partial 16S ribosomal RNA". It matches the Rfam family "Bacterial small subunit ribosomal RNA", at positions 30 to 523 of the family's 1533-position model. The record is from RNAcentral.